This is a long non-coding RNA of Neoarius graeffei (lesser salmon catfish), 221 nucleotides long. RefSeq lists it as uncharacterized. Lineage: Eukaryota; Metazoa; Chordata; Actinopteri; Siluriformes; Ariidae. The record is from RefSeq and is a predicted model, not a curated record. The transcript has 3 exons.
CCAUCAACCAGAGGCGAACUAAGCAUAACGGCAUCCUAUUCAGCCAAACGGUUGAUGGAUGAUGGACAAUGACAGGUUUCAGAUCGAAUGUUGCCUGGACUACUGAUGACCAUUCCAUGGCCUUCUGGCCAUCUUAUGCAGAUCCCAAUCAAAAUGGCAUUACUGAUGCAUGAAGUCCUUGGACCAUCGUGGACCACCCACACCAUUGUAAUUUUGGGCAC